AAACGACUCUCGGCAACGGAUAUCUCGGCUCACGCAUCGAUGAAGAACGUAGCAAAAUGCGAUACUUGGUGUGAAUUGCAGAAUCCCGUGAACCAUCGAGUUUUUGAACGCAAGUUGCGCCCUAAGCCAUCCGGUUGAGGGCACGCCUGCCUGGGCGUCACG
This 162-nucleotide ribosomal RNA is filed under the name Taraxacum stenocephalum. RNAcentral's name for it is "5.8S ribosomal RNA". It matches the Rfam family "5.8S ribosomal RNA". From Rfam's summary of the family: 5.8S ribosomal RNA (5.8S rRNA) is a component of the large subunit of the eukaryotic ribosome. RNAcentral also lists the same sequence under 1 other name. Lineage: Eukaryota; Viridiplantae; Streptophyta; Magnoliopsida; Asterales; Asteraceae. The record is from RNAcentral.